This 73-nucleotide transfer RNA is filed under the name Laccaria bicolor S238N-H82. RNAcentral's name for it is "tRNA-Phe (AAA) (tRNA-Phe-AAA-3-1)". It matches the Rfam family "tRNA". From Rfam's summary of the family: Transfer RNA (tRNA) molecules are approximately 80 nucleotides in length. Their secondary structure includes four short double-helical elements and three loops (D, anti-codon, and T loops). The record is from RNAcentral. Lineage: Eukaryota; Fungi; Basidiomycota; Agaricomycetes; Agaricales; Hydnangiaceae.
ACGGGCGUAGCUCAAGUUGGAAGAGCAUCAGAAUAAAGUUCUGAAGGUCCGCGUUCGAUUCGCGGUGCCCCCC